GAUGAACGCUGGCGGCGUGCCUAAUACAUGCAAGUCGAGCGAACGGACGAGAAGCUUGCUUCUCUGAUGUUAGCGGCGGACGGGUGAGUAACACGUGGAUAACCUACCUAUAAGACUGGGAUAACUUCGGGAAACCGGAGCUAAUACCGGAUGAUAUUUUGAACCGCAUGGUUCAAAAGUGAAAGACGGUCUUGCUGUCACUUAUAGAUGGAUCCGCGCUGCAUUAGCUAGUUGGUAAGGUAACGGCUUACCAAGGCAACGAGGCAUAGCCGACCUGAGAGGGGGAUCGGCCACACGGGAACUGAGACACGGUCCAGACUCCUACGGGAGGCAGCAGUAGGGAAUCUUCCGCAAUGGGCGAAAGCCUGACGGAGCAACGCCGCGUGAGUGAUGAAGGUCUUCGGAUCGUAAAACUCUGUUAUUAGGGAAGAACAUAUGUGUAAGUAACUGUGCACAUCUUGACGGUACCUAAUCAGAAAGCCACGGCUAACUACGUG
This 497-nucleotide ribosomal RNA is filed under the name uncultured bacterium. RNAcentral describes it as "partial 16S ribosomal RNA". It matches the Rfam family "Bacterial small subunit ribosomal RNA", at positions 28 to 507 of the family's 1533-position model. The record is from RNAcentral.